This is a non-coding RNA of Phalacrocorax carbo (great cormorant), 3406 nucleotides long. The record is from RefSeq and is a predicted model, not a curated record. Lineage: Eukaryota; Metazoa; Chordata; Aves; Suliformes; Phalacrocoracidae.
UGGGGCGGAAGGGCGUGUCCCCGGCCCGCCCCCCGCAACCGCGUUCCACCCGGAAGCAGCCGUUCCCCGGCAGGGUGUGGGGGUCGCACAGGGCCCCCCCCGCGGUUGUUCCCGUUCCCGCCGAAGUGACUCUAAAAAGGCCCAGCAGCCGCGGGCCCGCAGCCACGCCAGGCUCUGGGGCCCAUAAUUCACUGCAAAACGCCCGCGCCCGCCCUCAGAACCGCCCCGCCGGCAGAAGCACGGGACUGUGCGGUAACGGCCUCGGCGUCUCGGCCAGCACGACGGCAAGCUGACCUGUUUCUCGCACUAGUUGCAGUUAAACACGUCCGCCACAUCACCUACCACCGUUUCUUGCUCAUUCACGGACACGUCUGGCUCAGAAACGGGACUGUCAGGAAACGAGACGGAACAAUCUCUGUCCCAAGCUGGAGUCUUCCAGGAGAAGCGUGACUGACGGUCCUGAACCCCAGACUCACAAAAAGAACACGGCAUCAACCCCCCUGUGAGGUUGGUACGGCACAGGCAGCCGGGACGCUCGCGCUGACCUCUCGCCUACGUCUUUCGGGCCCUUUGGGGUAUUUACAGCAUAUCGACUAAAACCCCGUCCUGCCUCGCGCUGUCACGCAGCGCUCGGUAACUCUGCUGAAGUGUACUACCAAAGCACAACACCAUUCUUUAAUCCCACCCGAGAAACGGCAAAAGUCCUUCCCAAAAACAGGACCCCAGUUUAUUGUCUAUCUGGCUUUCUGAUUUUUAAUACCAUAAAACACGGGCCUUUCAUUUGCUAAGUAUUAAACACAUAGUUUUAUCAAGGCAUUAACCUGAAUAUUCAGUUUGGGGGGAAAAUAAACCCCAAACCUCAGAACUCCUUCCCCUGCAACGAUACCAUCUUGAAUGCUAUUUCCAUUCCCCAUCUCCUCUUCCAUAUCCGAACAUCCAGACACAAACAGGUGACACGUCUUACCUUCCAAACAGCAGCCGUUUCCAGUGUGCACAACUAGAAAUACCCUUUACUUCAGGUAUCAAGACAGCGAUAAGGAUUCUGUCCUUACCUUGUAUCUUCCAGGGGUAACUGGACAGAACAUCUUUAGAGGAGGAAGGAAUAACACCAGAUGCUGCAAAGCCAGGACAGGGAACACACUUCCCGGAAGCACUAGUACAUGUUCAGUGAAAUAAUGGAGAAAACAAGGAAUUGAGGUACUGCAAAUGCUUGCAGCACCUCCAUUCCUUGUUUUCUCCUUCUCAGACACCUCUGCUUCAGAGCGUGAGCUCAUUUGGUCCCCAUUCCACUGAAUAAGCUAAGAAACACAGACUUCACACUUUUUUUAAUUGCAAGAGCUCUCUGAAAAGGAAAGGGGAAGCCCCAUUAAUGCUUUCAAAACUUGAUUUUUUUUUUUUUUUAAUACUAGGAUACUUCAUAGAGAAUCCCAUAAAAAUGAAUCUAAAUAAAAUGAAAAAAGAGAGGGCCACUAUUGCACUGUUUAAGCAGGCUUUUAAUUCAGCGGUGGGAUGCUCAGUUUUAUGAAGGACCCGAGUGCUCUGAACCCCUAGUACGAGGACUUCAACCUAGCACCAGUUCAGGAUUCAUGACAGAUUGAGGCACUGGGCACACAGCUACCUGUGCUCAGCAACAGAGGCUGCUGAGGUUUUCAGAGAUUUCUAAGCCACUACAGUUCAGGAGAUUCUUAUCCCACCUCUUCCCUUUGCAUUCCCAGGCUAAACUAGAGUAGCCUGUGUCCUGCAACAUCCCUGCUGUGAUCACUCCCUGCUGGCAGUUCCAAGAACAAAAACUGAUUUUAAAUAGUUGAAUGAUGUUGGAGAGAGCAGCCCUAGAUGUGGAAUGACAUCACCCCUUCAGCCUUACUAGCCGUAAAAUGGCUACUGAUCACUUCCAGACAGAUGGUUUUUGUCUGCCAUGUUCUUUCCCUGCUCCUAUCAGAGAUCUAAUCCUUCUUUUCCUUCCACACAUAAGUAACGAUCAGAUCAAAAAUCUGUAUUUUGAUAGUCCUCUUAAUCCCAAGCACCACGCUGUCUGUCUGUCUUUGGCACCAACUUUCUAGGGAGAGCAGCUGCUACCCCCCUCUUCCCAGGCUGAGAAAAGCAAGCUUCCGAGGUCACGCUAGUGCCAUCUCAGCAGGGCCAAGCGUGCAGCCCUUUCAUACGGGUCAGUUCAUUUUUAUUCUUUCAUCAGCAAUGGGAGCCAAAUCAACCUCCUGAGUGAAUGGUGCUAUUUCAAAGUAAGAACCGCAGACAUAAGACAUGUAGCAGUCACCUUAACGUUAGAGACAUCUCCAGGGACUUCAGCAUUUUAGGGAGUUUCUUGCUCUCUUGUACCUUUUAAAGCAAUCCCAGGAAUGUGCCUCUAAGUUUCAAGAAGAAACUGAAAACGCUCAUCACUGCUGCAUUCUUUCCGCUCCCGUCAGAGACAACUGCCACCACCAACCUGUGUGCCAGGCCGCGGCACUAAGAGCCCACUGUGGCACCCCCUGCACCGUGCACAGCCUUCUCCCAGGCUGUGGCCGCCCUGCGCUGCCCGGCUGCUGAGGGAGAACAAGCUUCUCUGGCAGCUGGUGCAGAACAAAACCAAAGCCUUUGCUCCUCAGGCACAGGCACCGAUGGUUCUGAAUGGCCGUUCGCAGUUACUCAUAGAUCCGUAUCAGAAAGAACGUGCCCAUUUGUGGUAGGGAGAAGGGAGCCACUGAAGUCUGCCAGAACAUGUAAACAGCUCGUUCUUAAGAGCAAGGUCCCAGCUAUUUAUUUCCACUGGCGCUAAUACAGCAAAGGGAUUUUACAAGCGAAAAUUUGUUUGCCAAUGGCCAAAAUAAGAGCCAUGCUUGGAGAAAGAAAAGCGUUCUUACACAGCUCAGAAGCCAGAAGAACGAGUGACAACAGGUCUCCCACGCUUCCAGGGCCACCGCCUCCCGAGGAGGAGGGAAAUGCCAGCCAACGGCCAGCGCCGUACACAGCAGCAGGAGCCAGCUGAGCACGCAGGCAUUCUCAGAGCCGUAUCCUCAUGUACCGAAGCAGGCUACAGCCUAAGAGAGGACUUCAACAACUCAAUACAAGCACCUGGAAAGCUCUUAUAGUUUAUGCUAAGAACUAGGCUCUGAGACAUGACAGCAAAUGACCUUUAAAACAUGAAAAGCAGCUACCAGCUCCAGGCUAAGGGAGUUGCAAAGGCAGUUUAUUUUUACUUCGGAAAAAAAACCAAACAAGACUACAAAAAAAGAAACUUCUACCUAUGGCUGGGUCUUUUAAGCAAUACUAUUAAAACACAGUUCAUGUCUGAGCUGUAACCAUAUAAACGUUUGAUCAGAGGAACAGGCUUGGGGCUGUGGUGUUUCGUCCGUGAUCCCUUGUUCAGUAAAUGCACACGCUGCGCCAAUUAAAACAGAGUUGUACGUUA